RNAcentral lists this unclassified non-coding RNA (333 nucleotides) under fungal sp. Its description in RNAcentral is "partial internal transcribed spacer region". The stretch from base 1 to 46 matches the Rfam family "Eukaryotic small subunit ribosomal RNA", at positions 1786 to 1831 of the family's 1831-position model. Lineage: Eukaryota; Fungi. The record is from RNAcentral.
AAGUCGUAACAAGGUUUCCGUAGGUGAACCUGCGGAAGGAUCAUUAACACGUAUCCAACGUUAAACCCCCCGUGAACCUUCCGCGGCAAUCCCUGGUAAAUCAUCGCCGAACAGUUUUGAUUCAGGGACCUCUGCAUGGAGUGGGCAGCAGCGCGAGGCAAGUGGCCUGGCAUUCGAAAGAAUGGCGCAGUAACGAUCGCUAGAGGCCGACACGGCCGGCGACCGGGUCACUGGGCUCACGCCCCCCUAUCACCUUUGCAUGAAAACGGGCCUGCGCUUAAUUGUGCGGCCACCAAACUCGAACAACUGUUAACAAUGGAUAUCUUGGUUCUC